UCCAAGCUACUCUUCAAUAUUUUUCCAAUGUGGUACAAUGACCAUUCUCAUUUUUAAGCAAAAUCACAACAGUGAGCAUGUGGCGCAUCUCAUCAUAGCUGCUUCGCAAAAUUGACACUAUUUGGAGCAGUCCUUUCCAACCUCGACGAGCAAGUACUUGGCACAUCUCCACAAAACUAUUCAUUCUUUGACGUAGGUGCGAUGAACUCUCGAGCCGCUUGCUUUUGAAGAAUCAAGAUUUGAAAGGAUGCAUCCCAUAAAAUAAAAAUAAAUUUCACGGAUAAAUUCCUUGAGGAUUAGCCGCAGUCGACUUUUGAAGCUGAUAUACAUGUCUGACAUUUCGACUUUAAAACAUUGUAUGUUGUCAUUAGAACACACAUAUCUUAAGCUAAGAACUUCCAAAUUGCUAGCCGUCUGCGCCAUUGAAAGAAGACUCAGAGAUAAGGAAAUUGUCAAAAUAUCAUGGAACGAUUCCUAGAAGAUUAGCCGCAGCAAUUUCCCGAAAUUAACCCAUCUGUCUGUCGAACUUGCUGUUCAGCUUUAUGCGCUUGUGGAAAAAUUCACAUCUUGAGCUACAGGUGUCGGGAUCGCGAGCCAUCCGCUCUAUUGGAAAGAAAACUCUGAGACUUACAAUAUCUGUAAAGACCAAUGCAAAAAUCCUUUCAGAACGCCCGUCAUGAUAUUUUGAAAUUGCUAUAGACAUCUGCUGCACAUGAUUUCAAGAUUUGCGCAUUCUAGAUAAAGAAACUCAUAUCUUAGGCUAUGAACGUCGAAAGCACGAGACGUUUGUAUCCCUAGAGAAAAGACCAAAAGAUGAGAAAAUCAUCAAAAUAUCAUAGAAGUACUACUUCCAGAUUGGCCGGAGCAAUCUCUUGAAAUUGAUCGAGACGUCUGCCUUGCUGCUUUUCAGCUCUGCGCGCUCCGGUGGAAAAAUUCAUAUCUCGAGCUAGAAAACUCCAAAUUGCA
This 966-nucleotide long non-coding RNA is filed under the name Nicotiana benthamiana. Its description in RNAcentral is "long non-coding RNA (NBEN_LNC012911)". The record is from RNAcentral. Lineage: Eukaryota; Viridiplantae; Streptophyta; Magnoliopsida; Solanales; Solanaceae.